This is a non-coding RNA of Lynx canadensis (Canada lynx), 4274 nucleotides long. Lineage: Eukaryota; Metazoa; Chordata; Mammalia; Carnivora; Felidae. The record is from the annotation of a RefSeq genome assembly.
CAGUCUUCUCUCCCUCAGAUGACAAAAGCCAAUCUUGCCUUUGUGUCUUUUUGCUGAGAACUUGCAUUAAAUCAGUGCGCCUGGCUCAGACUAAAUGAUCCCCCAGGCCCCAUCCUUGUCUGGGUCUUCCAAGAGCAGAAAUUGCAUCCCUUUGGUUAGCCCUAGAUCUGAAGACUCUGCACAGGGUUCAGGAGCCUACAUCCAAUGUAGAAUCACAGCCACCAACUUCAGGACAACAGGGAAGUCAUGGUGCUCUCCUAGAGAUACUGUCCCCUGGUAAGGCAUGCCAGUGCUCAGAAAUCCAGGGGUGAUAUUCAGGUAGUUUGGGUAGCUGCCAACAGUCACUGGGACUGGUCCAGAGAACAGUAGUCUUUCAGAAGCUUUCCAAAAUGCCACGUCCAAUGGGGCAGGCAUUGCCCCCUUACGUGGUUAAAUUUUGUUUCGGAGGAAAUAAAGAAGUGGGGAAAUGUACGUGAAUGUGGCAAGGUUGACAUCCUGAAAGCAGCUGGUACUGUCAACAUGACGUCUGCCUCUCAGAAGGAAACAUAAACUUACAGGGGUUCUUGGUUGCCUGUUGCUUCCAGGCCAAUAGUGGGAUUUGGCGUGUUAUCUUAUCUUUGAGAAGGGAGAGACUAGAAAGAAGGAGGGAAACAGUCAUGUUGUAGCUGAUUGCAGUCUGAUCGAUGUUGGGCAAAUUGCAUCUGAGCGAAAAGUAUUGUAUUUCAUUUUCCCUUUAAAUCAUUUCCACUUGAAAUUCAGAAUUAUCUGCAGUGUUACAAUCAAAUCUCUGAGGCUGUGGCUUUGGGAAUCUUAGGGAAAAAGGAAAGACAUGAAACUGAUGCUUAGCCCCUCUGCCGGGACUCUGACCUGUGCUCUCUGGUGAUACUCUAUUUACUUCUUCAGUUUUCUCUUCCUGCAGUGAUGGAGUGUAAUAUGAUUAUGUGAAGCUCAGUUAGGGAAAGUGAGAAUUUCAAGUCAAGCCCUCAAUCUUAAAGUUUUGACAGCAAAUAAUGGCCCUAUACAACCAUCGUUUCCUUUGGCUCUAGCCCUAGACUCUAGAUUUCUGGUGAUGAGACCGAGUAAUCCAUAAGGCCUUCAAAUUCUAUUUCACAUGAUUAUUAUAUCCUCCUGAAGCUUGUAUCUGGAUCCAGAUACGGGAGGAAUUAUAAAACAAAAACAAGCGGUCCAAAGCAAGCAGCGGCUUCUCUGACCCACAUCCAUGGACACACAGCACCCUGGGCUCUCCAUCCACUACCAACUUCUUGUUCAAGCCUCAGACCCUUAGAAAGCCUUUCCUUGGGCUCGGGGAAUUAGGAGACAGAUUCCUUAUUAUUGUGAAGCUCAGUCUGAGUGAUGGGGAAGAAAUCAGGUUUCUAAUCAAAAAGCAGUAUCUGUGACCCAAGAGAAGGGAACCAGAAUGUGAGAACCAGACCUGUGUCUAAACCCUCUUCAGCCAAACAUUCACUCUAAGAAAUGUCACUAUUCCGUGCCCCAUCCCUAUUCCCAAGCUAUCGUGUUCUUCUUGGAAAGGCCUCCAAUAAACUGGGAGUUAAAUUGUCCAUCUUGAAGGCAGCUACCAGUCACCUGUCGCCUUCUUCUCUUCCUCUAUGUCAGCUCUGUCCCCUGUCUCCGUGCUUCCUGGCUGGGAUUUCAUGCACACAUCCUUAUCCAGCAGAUACACUAUUAUUAGCUUCAAAGGGAACUGAGCCUCUGUGCACUCAGCCCCUUGAUCUCAUCGAGGGCAGCUUUGUAGUUCUCUGAGCUGUGGGGUCUCUAGGCUGGGACCCAGGCUGGGGAGGCAGGGCACAGAUGUUCUAGGCCAGGCCCCAGGGCCAGCCCCAGGCUGGUUACUUGUGAGGCAGUGCUGCGAUGUGCUCCUGGGAUACCCGACAGAUGUUUUUUGGAGCCGGCACCAAACUCCUCGUGGAACCACAAAGCCAGCCUCCUGCCACACCAUCCGUUUUCAUCAUGCGAAAUGGGACGACGGUUGCUUGUCUGGUGAAGGAUUUCUAUCCUAAGGAUAUAGACAUAAAACUCGAAUCAACCAAGAAACUAGAAGAAUUUGACCCUGCUAUUGUCGUCUCCCCCAGUGGGAAGUACAGUGCUGUCAAGCUUGGUCGGUAUGAAGAUCCAAAUUCGGUGACCUGUUCGGUUGAACACAACAGUAAAAUCGUGAGCUCCACUAACUUUGAACCAAGGACAAAUUCUUCAGGUACUGUAAAACCAGAACCAACGGAAACUGAAAACAUAAAGCUAACUCCAAAGAGCAUCAGUGAGCCCAAAGCCACAGUUCAUCACAGUUCACAGUUCACAGCCGGGAAUGUAAACAUGCUGUCCCUCACAGUGCUGGGGCUCCGGAUGGUGUUUGCCAAGAGUCUUGCCAUCAAUUUUCUCUUGACUGCCAAGUUAUUUUUCUUUUAAGGCUGACUGGCUUCAGAAGGCUGCCUUAUGAAACUCCCACAUUAUGUCUUCACAUAAGCCUACAGAGGAGCUGUCUCCUAGACUUCUGGCUUCUCGGUGAUUCAAGGUGACCGAUCCCAGUCUUGCUUAAGUGGCUGCUACCCAAACCAUCAAAGCAACAAACCCAGCUCAUUUUCCAGCUUUGUGGAAAGACACAAGUCCUAGGGAGUAGGGCAUUAUGGUCCUAACUGCUCUAUCUGCUGCUUUAUAAAGGGAUAUAGGACUCAUUUUUUUUAUUAUUAUUUCUACAACAGAUACACUUUGAAAAUAGUGUUUUUUUCCCUUAACUUUCUUUGCCUUCAAAAGUAGAAAGUGGGAGCCAACAGAUUCCCAGCUCCAUACUCCCCGAGGAAAACAGACCCUGGGGGUUGGAGAGAAGAUGCCCUUCACCUAACAGGAAUGGCUCUGUUCAGCCCAGCACUAGGUUUGCCUCAAGCUGGCAUUCUCAUCCACAAAAGCACUUUCUGCUUUCCUUAGUACUUUACAAACAAAAUUACAUUUGACUUCUCAUGCAGCCAAUGGGGUUUCUAAAGCCUCAUCUAAAUACUCUCCAAGCUAUUAGCAAAGAUCAGGGUAAAAUACAGAGAAAAUUACUUUUAUCAAUUGACUUCACAAACAUGAAUUGACUCCUUCUAAGUUCCAGGCACCGAGCUGAGGGUGUAAAGAUGAACGAGAGGUGGGCCUGCUUUCAAGCGACUUACUGUGCAAGCACUUUUGGAGGGAGGGAGAGGAAUGAGACUCCUAGAUUUGGGCUGUAAAAAGAGUAUCUUUACUGGGUUUUGCCUGCCAAUAUAUGCACAGGGAAUUUGAUUUCAGUGGAUGCUGACUCUUGCCUGCCCCUUGUUGUUGAUGGUUUUCUGCCAUUCUCAGUGUUGUCUCUGUUUCAUUUAUUAAAGUGCAUCGAGUGUGCCUUGCCUCUGGCUUUACUCAUAACAGACCACCGCGGGAGGGGGAGAGUGGGUGCUGUGAACUCACUGUUAGGCAGACAAAAGCCAAACUGAACUUGUAGGUCACACCGCAGCUUCCUGAGCCCCAAGCCUGCAGGCUCCUGCCUCGGGGACCCUGCCCUGGGUUUCCGGCUGUUGCUGCUGCUGCUACAGCAAAACAGCAGCAAUGACCCCUCUGUGGCCGAUGGGCUCUGCUACUUCCACAUCAGCAAGGCCACAGCAUUUUCCCAGGUGCACCCACUCAGGUAGCAGAGCCCUUGCAACCCACUAUUGUGGUUUCCUGGGCACCUAGGGUGCUACCUAGGGUGUCAAGCGGGGGCUUAUGGGGUCACAAGUGAAAGAGCAACCCUCACCAACUCCCCCUGAUAUUGCCAUCUGCAGACUCCCAUGUUGUCUUUACAGCCCAAAGCAAAGAAAGGAGGCAGUAGCCCUCUGAGUCAAUGGGUUUAGGACAAUCUACAUGGAUAAGGAGGUCCAUCCAGGGAAGAACCAUUAGAAGAUUCCACACAACUGCACCUCGUGUGUGUAAAGAAUGCCUAUUUCCAAAACAUUCACAUCUGUUACCUUAGGUAACAUUAGCAUGUUUCUAUAAGUGGCAAAGAACAAAAAGAUCACAUCCUCAUUUUUCAGAUGGAAAAAAUACCCCUUCCAAAAAGGUAAUGUACCUUCUUCAAAGUCGUUCAGUGAGGCAGGACGUGGCUGUGAGCAGAACCAUGUUACCAAGAGCACCAGCCCAAAGUUCCUUCUAGAACAUACAGCAUCCCCAAAACAAGGACAAGGUGGUGAUUUGAUUUCAGCUAGACUGGACUUCAGGAUUGUCCGAUAGUUAGCAUAUAAAUGAGCCACCCUCUGAUCUACUUUGGUGGU